This 446-nucleotide ribosomal RNA is filed under the name uncultured bacterium. RNAcentral describes it as "partial 16S ribosomal RNA". It matches the Rfam family "Bacterial small subunit ribosomal RNA", at positions 338 to 795 of the family's 1533-position model. The record is from RNAcentral.
CCUACGGGUGGCUGCAGUCGAGAAUCAUUCACAAUGGGGGAAACCCUGAUGGUGCGACGCCGCGUGGGGGAAUGAAGGUCUUCGGAUUGUAAACCCCUGUCAUGUGGGAGCAAAUUAAAAAGAUAGUACCACAAGAGAAAGAGACGGCUAACUCUGUGCCAGCAGCCGCGGUAAUACAGAGGUCUCAAGCGUUGUUCGGAAUCACUGGGCGUAAAGCGUGCGUAGGCUGUUUCGUAAGUCGUGUGUGAAAGGCGCGGGCUCAACCCGCGGACGGCACAUGAUACUGCGAGACUAGAGUAAGGGAGGGGGAACCGGAAUUCUCGGUGGAGCAGUGAAAUGCGUAAAUAUCGAGAGGAACACUCGUGGCGAAGGCGGGUUCCUGGACAUUAACUGACGCUGAGGCACGAAGGCCAGGGGAGCGAAAGGGAUUAGAUACCCGGGUAGUC